This 77-nucleotide transfer RNA is filed under the name Ercella succinigenes. Its description in RNAcentral is "Arg". It matches the Rfam family "tRNA". From Rfam's summary of the family: Transfer RNA (tRNA) molecules are approximately 80 nucleotides in length. Their secondary structure includes four short double-helical elements and three loops (D, anti-codon, and T loops). Further hydrogen bonds mediate the characteristic L-shaped molecular structure. tRNAs have two regions of fundamental functional importance: the anti-codon, which is responsible for specific mRNA codon recognition, and the 3' end, to which the tRNAs corresponding amino acid is attached (by aminoacyl-tRNA synthetases). tRNAs cope with the degeneracy of the genetic code in two manners: having more than one tRNA (with a specific anti-codon) for a particular amino acid; and 'wobble' base-pairing, i.e. permitting non-standard base-pairing at the 3rd anti-codon position. RNAcentral also lists the same sequence under 3 other names. Lineage: Bacteria; Bacillati; Bacillota; Clostridia; Eubacteriales; Oscillospiraceae. The record is from RNAcentral.
GCGCCCGUAGCUCAAUUGGAUAGAGCGUCUGACUACGGAUCAGAAGGUUAUGGAUUCGAUUUCUGUCGGGCGCGCCA